CUGAAAUUCAGCAGUAUUAGCUUAUAAAAUCCAAAAUAAAAUACUAUAUAACUACAAUUCAUAUAGGUACAUAAGGCAGAAACUAGAUGCAAAGAUGAUAGAGUAAGGACAAAUAGGAACCCUAUAAAUGGGAGCUCACCUCCCUCAUCCAAGGAGGUAACUCUCUCAACAUCCACACAUAAUCAUGAUAAAUUACAAUAACAUCAAAUGAUUUAAAUUAUAUAGCCCCCGACAAGAGUAGAAUACUAAUAGUGUAUGCGGAGUUCUAGAUUUUAAAUCAAUAGAAUGAAAUACACAUAUUUGCUAUUGAUAGACCUAUGAGAAAGGAAGCAGAUUAAUCAUAAAAGGUCCUCCUGUAGCUUGGAAAAACAGAGUGAACAGGAGUGUGCGUUCGACUCAUAGAGUAAGAU
This 410-nucleotide unclassified non-coding RNA is filed under the name Hevea brasiliensis (rubber tree). Lineage: Eukaryota; Viridiplantae; Streptophyta; Magnoliopsida; Malpighiales; Euphorbiaceae. The record is from RNAcentral.